AUACUCUGGUUUCUCUUCAAAUCGUAUAAAUCUUUCGCCUUUUACUAAAGAUUUCCCUAUUUUACAGAUGGGGAAACUGAGCACAGAGAGGUUAAAGUGACUUGUCCAAGGUCCCCCAGCAGGCCACUAGGAGAAAUUGGGACU
RNAcentral lists this small nuclear RNA (144 nucleotides) under Chrysemys picta bellii (western painted turtle). RNAcentral describes it as "U5 spliceosomal RNA (ENSCPBG00000024838.1)". The stretch from base 19 to 58 matches the Rfam family "U5 spliceosomal RNA", at positions 19 to 58 of the family's 117-position model. Lineage: Eukaryota; Metazoa; Chordata; Testudines; Emydidae. The record is from RNAcentral.